GUACUGGUGUUAUUGGUUUCUCCUUUCUGAGGAGCCAUGAUGUCAUUAAUUUGGUGUCGUGGGGAAUCAGGACUGUUACUUUGAAAAAAUUAGAGUGUUUAAAGCAGGCACGCGCUUGAAUACAUUAGCAUGGAAUAAUGAAAUAGGACGUUCGAUUCUAUUUUGUUGGUUUCUAGGAUCAACGUAAUGAUUAAUAGGGAUAGUUGGGGGCAUUAGUAUUCAAUUGUCAGAGGUGAAAUUCUUGGAUUUAUUGAAGACUAACUACUGCGAAAGCAUUUGCCAAGGAUGUUUUCAUUAAUCAAGAACGAAAGUCAGGGGAUCGAAGACGAUCAGAUACCGUCGUAGUCUUAACCAUAAACUAUGCCGACUAGGGAUCGGAUGAUGUUAAUUUUUUAAUGACUCAUUCGGCGCCUUACG
This 417-nucleotide ribosomal RNA is filed under the name uncultured Glomeromycotina. RNAcentral's name for it is "SSU rRNA". It matches the Rfam family "Eukaryotic small subunit ribosomal RNA", at positions 677 to 1092 of the family's 1831-position model. Lineage: Eukaryota; Fungi; Glomeromycota. The record is from RNAcentral.